RNAcentral lists this ribosomal RNA (1242 nucleotides) under Corynebacterium efficiens. RNAcentral's name for it is "partial 16S ribosomal RNA". It matches the Rfam family "Bacterial small subunit ribosomal RNA", at positions 98 to 1354 of the family's 1533-position model. The record is from RNAcentral. Lineage: Bacteria; Bacillati; Actinomycetota; Actinomycetes; Mycobacteriales; Corynebacteriaceae.
UGNGACGGGNGGAGANACACGAUGUGAUGUCCCCGGCGCUGUGANANACGCUCGGGAAAGUGUCUCUCACAGAAUAUAAAAUACCUUCUCGUGGAUGCUGGUGGGAAACAUUUUUGGGGUGGGAAAAGACUCCGGGCCAUCCCCCUUUUUGGGGGGGAAAGGGCUCCCCAAGGGGUCAAAGGGAUCCCGGCCCGGAAGGGGUACCGGCACAUUUGGAAAGGAAAAUCGGCCCCAAACCCUACGGAAGGGCCCNNGGGGAAAAUUUGGCAAAGGGGGCGAACCCUGAUGCNCCACCCCCCCUGGGGGGAAAAAGGCCUUCGGGUUUUAAACCUCUUUUCUCUNGNAAAAACCCCNAUUGACGGUACCUGCAGAAAAAGCACCGGCUAACUACGUGCCAGCAGCCGCGGUAAUACGUAGGGUGCAAGCGUUAUCCGGAAUUAUUGGGCGUAAAGAGCUCGUAGGCGGUUUGUCGCGUCUGCUGUGAAAUCUGGAGGCUCAACCUCCAGCCUGCAGGGGGUACGGGCAUAACUUGAGUGCUGUAGGGGAGAUUGGAAUUCNUGGUGUAGCGGUGAAAUGCGCNGAUAUCAGGAGGAACACCGAUGGCGAAGGCAGNUNUNUGGGCAGUAANUGACGNUGAGGAGAGAAAGCAUGGGUAGNNAACAGGAUUAGAUACCNUGGUNNUCCAUGCCGUAAACGGUGGGCGNUAGGUGUAGNNGGNUUNCACGUUUUNUGUGCCGUAGCUAACGCAUUAAGCNCCCCGCCUGGGGAGUACGGCCGCAAGGCUAAAACUCAAAGGAAUUGACGGGGGCCCGCACAAGCGGCGGAGCAUGUGGAUUAAUUCGAUGCAACGCGAAGAACCUUACCUGGGCUUGACAUAUACAGGAUUGGCCUAGAGAUAUUUAGUCCCUUGNGGUUUGUAUACAGGUGGUGCAUGGUUGUCGUCAGCUCGUGUCGUGAGAUGUUGGGUUAAGUCCCGCAACGAGCGCAACCCUUGUUUUAUGUUGCCAGCACGUGAUGGUGGGGACUCAUGAGAAACUGCCGGGGUNAACUCGGAGGAAGGUGGGGAUGACGUCAAAUCAUCAUGCCCCUUAUGUCCAGGGCUUCACACAUGCUACAAUGGUCGAUACAAUGGGCAGCGACAUCGUGAGGUGGAGCGAAUCCCCUGAAAGUCGGCCNCAGUUCGGAUUGGGGUCUGCAACUCGACCCCAUGAAGUCGGAGUCGCUAGUAAUCGCAGAUCAGCA